GCGUCUCCGCCCAGAUCGUUCGACUUCCUCGUCAAGCGCCUCCCCGGCACCUCCUCCGCGCGCCUCUGCGACCUCCAGCCCGGCGACCUCGUCCCCGUCGGCGGCAGCGUCGUCGGCCGCGGGUUCGAGGUAACCAGGAUCGCCGACGCCCGCGACGUCCUCGUCUUCGCCACCGGAUCCGGGAUCAGUCCAAUCCGGUCACUCAUUGAGUCAGGUUUUGGUGAAAAUGAGAAGAUUGAUGUAAGCCUCUUUUAUGGGGUUAGAAACCUUCAAAGGAUGGCUUAUCAGGAAAGGUUCAGUGACUGGGAAUCGAGAGGAAUAAAAAUUAUACCUGUUCUCUCUAGACCAGAUGAGCAGUGGACUGGCCAGCGUGGCUAUGUUCAGAAUGCCUUUUCAAGGGCAAAGAAAGUUAUAAAUCCAUCAUCAACGGGAGCGAUUUUGUGUGGACAUAAACAGAUGACUGAGGAAAUUACUAGAGCUCUUGUUGCUGAUGGUAUGCCCAAAGAUCAAAUCCUAACAAACUUCUGA
RNAcentral lists this ribosomal RNA (528 nucleotides) under Triticum aestivum (bread wheat). RNAcentral describes it as "partial small subunit ribosomal RNA". The record is from RNAcentral. Lineage: Eukaryota; Viridiplantae; Streptophyta; Magnoliopsida; Poales; Poaceae.